AAUCCAUGGUGAGGACAUCUUCUAAUCAAAUCCUUAUACCUUUCCCAAAACUCAUUUAAUGAUUCAGAAUCAAAUUGCAUGAAAGAAGUGAUAUCAUUCUGCAUCU
RNAcentral lists this small nucleolar RNA (106 nucleotides) under Theobroma cacao (cacao). RNAcentral describes it as "Plant small nucleolar RNA R71". It matches the Rfam family "Plant small nucleolar RNA R71". Rfam says of the family: R71 is a member of the C/D box family of snoRNAs containing the C (UGAUGA) and D (CUGA) box motifs. Multiple nearly identical copies of this snoRNA have been identified in Arabidopsis, and it is thought to function as a 2'-O-ribose methylation guide for 18S ribosomal RNA. The record is from Rfam by way of RNAcentral. Lineage: Eukaryota; Viridiplantae; Streptophyta; Magnoliopsida; Malvales; Malvaceae.